Molecule: ribosomal RNA, 254 nt
Filed under: uncultured bacterium
Lineage: Bacteria
Description: partial 16S ribosomal RNA
Rfam family: Bacterial small subunit ribosomal RNA
Source: RNAcentral
UACGAAGGGGGCUAGCGUUGUUCGGAUUUACUGGGCGUAAAGCGCACGUAGGCGGAUCGUUAAGUCAGGGGUGAAAUCCUGGAGCUCAACUCCAGAACUGCCUUUGAUACUGGCGAUCUCGAGUCCGGAAGAGGUGAGUGGAACUCCUAGUGUAGAGGUGGAAUUCGUAGAUAUUAGGAAGAACACCAGUGGCGAAGGCGGCUCACUGGUCCGGAACUGGACGCUGAGGUGCGAAAGCGUGGGGAGCAAACAGG